GCGUAAUUCAUUGUAUUCGCUCGUGACUGAACGCGCGUCUUUAUUUCAUACAGGCUCCUAUGUAAUGUAUAAAAUGAUUAGGGUCCAGAUUUAUAUGCAUUUGUAUGUUUUUUUUUAGACAGUCUAAAAAGUAGUUAAAUAAGCUUCAAGUUUGAAUUAAGGUCAACAGAAUUGAAAUACAACAUUUUAUUUUGCAUAUUUUACUAUUUUUUAACAUGUAAUGCAUAUUUCUUCA
Cinara cedri is the source of this 235-nucleotide non-coding RNA. NCBI's taxonomy places the organism in Eukaryota, Metazoa, Arthropoda, Insecta, Hemiptera, Aphididae. The record is from the annotation of a GenBank genome assembly.